Long non-coding RNA from Lytechinus pictus (painted urchin), 4083 nucleotides. RefSeq lists it as uncharacterized. The record is from RefSeq and is a predicted model, not a curated record. NCBI's taxonomy places the organism in Eukaryota, Metazoa, Echinodermata, Echinoidea, Temnopleuroida, Toxopneustidae. The transcript has 3 exons.
GGGGUUCAUUUGAUGAGAGAGAGAUAGAAAGAAAAUGGCCAGGUGCUCAAAGAUGUAAAAAUAUAAAUGAUGGGUGACAGAGGUAUGGAUCAAGGGAUAAAGAUGCAUGAAUGUGUCCCAAUUUAGGCACAAAGCUGUGAUGAGUAGUGGCCCCUCGUGUGCACUCCUUGUAUUUGGGCAAUAAGUGUGAUUUUUUUUAGUGGACACCCGCCCCAUCUCCAAUUGCAAGUUUUGGGCAAGGAAAACACCGUGCUCUUUGUCCUAACUAAAAAAAAAAACGAAGCCAUCUGAUUAGACCUUUGUUCGGAAUUGAGGAACAUUUUUAUUUCGGCCUAUUUAUUUGUUUAUUUUCUCUGUCAAUUAUUUUCUUGACGAAAUUGCCCCGUUAUGCUUCCAAAUUUGUAACCCGCCCCAACUGCACAGGCAAGAGGGUUCCAUGACACGCUUAUAAAAUACACAAUUGAAAUUAUAAAGAAAUGAAAUAAUGAACAAAUCAUUACAGGGAUUAUGCAUGGUUGUCAAUCGGUGUUCAUGGUUUGGGGAUGACUGACACAAAAUUGUUCUCUGUGAAGAAGUUUUUUUUUAGUUUAAAGGGGUGGCUUUAGGAACUCAUAUUUUUAUGGGGUAGACAUGGUGUAAAGGGCAAAAUUUACAAAAACUGCGAGCGAGCAAACAUUUUGAAUUUUUUAUACAAAGUAUAAUUUUGUGAUUGAUGUUGAUAUGGUAUUUUAUAACAUAUAUCAUAUUUCACUCUUUCUUUUCCUUUCUUUUUUUCAGACCAAAUUUUUCAUGAUAAUGAUACCUUUCUUUUUCCAACAAGACUACUAUAUGAGAACUAGAUUAAUGAUGCAGGCGCGAAUUAAGCUCGAGCUGAGAUUUUCGAAAAGAAUGGGAUGACCUCUUAUAUAUCCAUUUUGAUGACUUUUUGAUAUUUCCCUUUUCUUUCCUCUUUUAAAUUACAAUUCGCAUUUCUUUUGUAUGUUCUCUAGGCCUAGUGCCUAUUUUAGACCAUGAACCUGAAAAAAGAAAAUUAACAAAAAUGAGGCGAUAUUAAAAAGGAUGGUGAAAUAAACGAGGCAAGCCCCAUAUGCACUUGGUUGGGGGAAGGGUAAAUUAAACUAGAAUUAUCGAUAAAGGUGAUUAAUACCCCUGCCCUGUGCCUUUACUAUAGCAACAGUUUCCAACACGUGGAAAAAAUGUCUUGCCCAUCUUUACCCAAGACCUACAUGUAUGUGUGAGCAAGUCAUGAUAAUUACUGAUGAAGUAGUUUGAACCGCAAGAUUUAUGCCUAAUUUUUGACAUAAUAUAUAGUGUUACCAUGGCAACACGAUUUUCGACACAUGCAAAAAAUAUGUCCUGUACAUCUUUACCUCGAGACCAAUGUGUGAGCCAAUUUUCAUGAGAAUCGGUUGGAAACUAAUCAAGUAGUUGGAACCAAUAGAUUUUUACCUAAUUUUGGGCCUGUAAUAUGUUGUAACCAUGGCAACACGAUUUCCGACACACACAAAAAAUGUCUCUUUCACACGUUUACCUCUAACUCAACAUGCUCAAAGUGUGAACCAAAUUUUACGAGAAUUGGUUGAAAAUCGAUGAAGUAAUUAAAAGCCUGAUUUUUUAAAACAAUUUUUUGUCAUAUCAUAUGCCGUUACCAUGGCAACAUGAUUUCUGACACACAAAAUAGGUUUUGGAGCUAGGGGAAGCCCGGGGGGGGGGGGGGGGGGACAAUCCAAAUUCCAACACCAACGCCAACACCGGACUUGAAAUCAUCCAAUGUGUGUACCAAAUUUCUGAAUCUGAAUUUAGCACAUAAGGGGCGAUUCUAGACUGAAAGUCAAAGUUAUUAUCAUUAUUUUGGGAGGGAAGGGUGGUGGUGCUUGAAAAAUAUGCGACGUUGAAAUAAAUUAGGAUAUUAUUAUAAGGAAAAUGUAUAAUCCUCAAUUAAGCAAGCACAUUAACUAUUAUGCUUAGGCCUAGCUUUGCUUAUAAAAAUAAGGGAAAUAUUUACGAUUAUUAUUUUUUUAAAUAUUGUAAGAAUACAUCAUAGGCUAAUCCAAUGACACAAAAAUUAUUUCGCAGGCCCAAGUAAAACUCAAAAUAUAAUCAAAUUACAAAGGGCAUAAUUAUACAAAAAUAAUCGUAAAAUUUCCCUUAAGUCACUUAUUGCGGAAAGCCGCCGUUUAUGUCUUGAUUUUAAUCACGACAUAAAUUUAUGUCAUUCAAAUGGAUUUAUGUCAUGAUUUUAUGUCGUGAUUUAAGACAUAAAGCUUUAUGCAACGGAUUUAUGUCAAUAUUUGUGUUUAUGUGAUGAUUUAUGCUAUAUGACAUAAAUCGUGACAUAAAUCAUGACAUAAAUCAAUACAUAAACUUUUAUGCAACAGGGCCCUGUUGCAAAAAAAUUUAUGUCAUUAUGACAUAAAUUUCGAUCAUGACAUAAAAUCAUGCAUAGCUUAUGCCGUUGACAUAAAUUCCGUUGCAUAAAAAUAUUUACGUAUUGUUUUAGCUUAUGACGCGAUUUAAUCAUCAUUACAUAAACUGAAUAGUCAUGAACGAGCCUGUUGACAUAAACUUGGCAUAAGUUGUCAUUUUUCAGCCGCAGCAAGUUCUUGCGAAAAAGGGUCAUCGGCUUCCCAUUUUGACGGGAUAGAGGCAUAUUUUGUUGAACCACACAAACGGUGAGAAGAGGUAGAAAUAAAGAAGGGGAUUGCAACUGGAAGGAGAUGGAAGUCCAGACACUCUGCCACUGUGUGCCAUUGAACAAGAAAUCUCUUUUAGUAUGAAGAUUGUUCAAGAGUCAAGACUGUUGAAGACGUGACAUCAUGGACCUAAUUGCACAUGGCAAGGGAACUAUCUGGCUGUACCCUGAAGUAUUCUCUUUAAGAUUUGAAAAUUAACAAAAGUACUAAUUUUCAUUUUUUUCAGAGAUAAUAAUCAUUAUAUUGACAUUGUGGAUAUCUUUUUAUGAUUGUUAUCAUACAAUUAUUAUAAUGUUAAUGAUGAUAGGUCAUAAUUAUACAAAUGAAUUAUAAGUAGAAAAGAAGACAACCAAAAAGGAGGAGGAAAAGAAGAAGAUGAAGAAGAGGAGGGUGGAAGAGGAGAAAAGGAGAAGAAGAAUAAAUAACAUCACUGUGAGUUCCCCUUCAUGAUAUUACAUAAAUAUUUGUCUCUUUUAAAUGAAAAUAUUUAUUAAGCAUAAAAAUAGGAUUUAGUUAUUCUUGUUUUUUAAGAUGUAUUAUUAUGUAUCAUGUUUGUAGUUGUACACUUGAUUGAGGUACAUGUAUUGUAUUCAUUUAGGAUAUAAAUAAUAUGUUUUAUUUGAAUCCAUGUACCUCUUUAAAGGUCAAAUCCACCCCAACAAAAAGUUGAUUUGAAUAAAAAGAGAAAAAUCCAACAAGCAUAACACUGAAAAUUUCAUCAAAAUCGGAUGUAAAAUAAGAAAGUAAUGACAUUUUAAAGUUUUGCUUAAUUUCACAAAACAGUUAUAUGCACAUUCUGGUGGGUAUGCAAAUGAGGUGACUGAUGACGUCAUCCACUCACUAUUUCUUUGGUAUUUUAUAAUAUGAAAUAUGGAAUAUUCAAUUUUUCUCCUCAUUGUCAAGUGAAAGAACGAUUAAUUCCUCCCUGAACAUAUGGAAUGAGCAUUGUUUAAUACUAUAUGAUCAGUCAAGUUGUUCCUUAUUGUCAAAUCUAAAAAAAAAAAUAUAUAUAUAGUAUAAUUCAAACAAUGAAAAACAAAAGAAAUAGUGAGUGAGGGACAUCAUCGACUGUCUCGUUUGAGUUGUGCAUACAAUGUUUUGUGAAAAAUAAGCAAAACUUUAAAAUGUCAUAACUUUCAUAUUUUACAUCCGAUUUUGAUGAAAUUUUCAGCGUUUUGCUAGUAUGAUUUUUCUCUUUUUAUUCAAAUCAACAUUUUCUGGGGUGGAUUUGACCUUUAAAUCAUAUUUAUACAGUCAUGAUUAAAGGACAUGGGACAGGUAACAAGAUUACAUUGUUUUACAAAUUUUAGUGUGAAUUUAUUUUAAAAGUAAUAAAUUUACAUAAAAUGUCAUUCUUUUUGCUUCAUCUCUUUGUUCGUUUUUUUUAUUG